ACACAUCGUCGCGACC
This 16-nucleotide ribosomal RNA is filed under the name Cardiospermum anomalum. RNAcentral describes it as "partial 26S ribosomal RNA". Lineage: Eukaryota; Viridiplantae; Streptophyta; Magnoliopsida; Sapindales; Sapindaceae. The record is from RNAcentral.